RNAcentral lists this ribosomal RNA (637 nucleotides) under uncultured bacterium. Its description in RNAcentral is "bacterial SSU rRNA". The stretch from base 1 to 545 matches the Rfam family "Bacterial small subunit ribosomal RNA", at positions 338 to 873 of the family's 1533-position model. The record is from RNAcentral.
CCUACGGGAGGCAGCAGUGGGGAAUUUUGGACAAUGGGCGAAAGCCUGAUCCAGCCAUUCCGCGUGAGUGAAGAAGGCCUUCGGGUUGUAAAGCUCUUUCGCAAGGGAAGAAAACUUAGAUACUAAUAUUAUCUGAGGUUGACGGUACCUUGAUAAGAAGCACCGGCUAACUACGUGCCAGCAGCCGCGGUAAUACGUAGGGUGCGAGCGUUAAUCGGAAUUACUGGGCGUAAAGCGUGCGCAGGCGGUUUUGUAAGUCAGAUGUGAAAUCCCCGAGCUCAACUUGGGAACUGCGUUUGAAACUACAAGACUAGAAUAUGUCAGAGGGGGGUAGAAUUCCACGUGUAGCAGUGAAAUGCGUAGAGAUGUGGAGGAAUACCAAUGGCGAAGGCAGCCCCCUGGGAUAAUAUUGACGCUCAUGCACGAAAGCGUGGGGAGCAAACAGGAUUAGAUACCCUGGUAGUCCACGCCCUAAACGAUGUCUACUAGUUGUUGGUGGAGUAAAAUCCAUGAGUAACCGCAGCUAACGCGUGAAGUAGACCGCCUGGGGGAGGUACGGUCGCGAGAGUAAGUACGUACAAGAGAAGUUAGUACGGCGUGAGACGUAGCCGACGGACGACCGACGAGGGGAGGAGGG